GAUGAAGAACGUAGUGAAAUGCGAUAAGUAAUGUGAAUUGCAGAAUUCAGUGAAUCAUCGAAUCUUUGAACGCACAUUGCGCCCGCCAGUAUUCUGGCGGGCAUGCCUGUUCGAGCGUCAUUUCAACCCUCAAGCCCAGCUUGGUGUUGGGGAUCGGCACAGGCGCCCUCGGGCGCCCGCCGUCCCCUAAAUCUAGUGGCGGUCCCGCUGCAGCCUCCUCUGCGUAGUAGUUUUCUCCUCGCAAGGGCAGCUCGGUGGCGACCUCGCCGUAAAACCCCCAACUUCUGAAAGGUUGACCUCGAAUCAGGUAGGAAUACCCGCUGAACUUAAGCAUAUCAAUAAGCGGAGA
RNAcentral lists this unclassified non-coding RNA (349 nucleotides) under soil metagenome. Its description in RNAcentral is "partial contains 5.8S ribosomal RNA, internal transcribed spacer 2, and large subunit ribosomal RNA". The stretch from base 1 to 120 matches the Rfam family "5.8S ribosomal RNA", at positions 35 to 154 of the family's 154-position model. The record is from RNAcentral.